This 492-nucleotide ribosomal RNA is filed under the name uncultured bacterium. RNAcentral's name for it is "partial 16S ribosomal RNA". It matches the Rfam family "Bacterial small subunit ribosomal RNA", at positions 29 to 507 of the family's 1533-position model. The record is from RNAcentral.
AUUGAACGCUGGCGGCAUGCUUUACACAUGCAAGUCGAACGGUAACAGGCCUUCGGGUGCUGACGAGUGGCGAACGGGUGAGUAAUGCAUCGGAACGUACCCAGAGGUGGGGGAUAACGCAGCGAAAGCUGUGCUAAUACCGCAUGUGAUCUGAGGAUGAAAGCGGGGGACCGAGCAGCAAUGUUUGGCCUCGCGCCUUUGGAGCGGCCGAUGUCGGAUUAGCUAGUUGGUGGGGUAAAGGCCUACCAAGGCGACGAUCCGUAGCUGGUCUGAGAGGACGACCAGCCACACUGGGACUGAGACACGGCCCAGACUCCUACGGGAGGCAGCAGUGGGGAAUUUUGGACAAUGGGCGCAAGCCUGAUCCAGCAAAGCCGCGUGCGGGAAGAAGGCCUUCGGGUUGUAAACCGCUUUUGGCAGGAACGAAACGGUGUCCGCUAAUACCGGGCGCUAAUGACGGUACCUGCAGAAUAAGCACCGGCUAACUACGUG